This 499-nucleotide ribosomal RNA is filed under the name uncultured bacterium. RNAcentral's name for it is "partial 16S ribosomal RNA". It matches the Rfam family "Bacterial small subunit ribosomal RNA", at positions 28 to 507 of the family's 1533-position model. The record is from RNAcentral.
GACGAACGCUGGCGGCGUGCUUAACACAUGCAAGUCGAACGGGCCCGCCCCUGUUUUUGGGGGUGGGUUGAGUGGCGAACGGGUGAGUAUCACGUGAGUAACCUGCCCCCUGCUCCUGGAUAACUGCUUGAAAGGGCGGCUAAUACGGGGUGUGCCGGCUGGUCCGCAUGGGCCUGGUCGGGAUAGUUUCAUCUUCGGGUGUUUCGGUGGGGGAUGGGCUCGCGGCCUAUCAGCUUGUUGGUGGGGUGAUGGCCCACCAAGGCGGUGACGGGUAGCCGGCCCGAGAGGGUGGGCGGCCACACUGGGACUGAGACACGGCCCAGACUCCUGCGGGAGGCAGCAGUGGGGGGUAUUGCACAAUGGGCGGAAGCCUGAUGCAGCGACGUCGCGUGAGGGAUGGAGGCCUUCGGGUUGUGAACCUCUUUCUCCGGUGGUGAAGGCCCUGUCCGUUGCGGCGGGGUUGACGGUAGCCGGGUAUGAAGCGCCGGCUAACUACGUG